Molecule: ribosomal RNA, 253 nt
Filed under: uncultured bacterium
Lineage: Bacteria
Description: partial 16S ribosomal RNA
Rfam family: Bacterial small subunit ribosomal RNA
Source: RNAcentral
UACGGGGGGGGCAAGCGUUGUUCGGAAUUACUGGGCGUAAAGGGUUUGUAGGUGGCUCCUUAAGUCACACGUGAAAUCCCUCAGCUUAACUGGGGAACUGCGUGUGAGACUGAGAAGCUUGAGGACAGGAGAGGAACGCGGAAUUCCAGGUGUAGCGGUGAAAUGCGUAGAUAUCUGGAGGAACACCGGUGGCGAAGGCGGCGUUCUGGACUGUUUCUGACACUGAGGAACGAAAGCCAGGGGAGCAAACGGG